AGCUCCAAUAGCAUAUACCAAUUCUGCUGCUGUUGAAAAGCUCGUAGUUGGAUCUAUCCAAAGUGCGCGGUCGGCCUCAAUGGUCUGUACUGUGUCACAAUGGAACUUUUGUUGGUCUUCUCAUGUUGCUCUUCACUGAGUGGCAUGGGUGGCUAGCGUCUUUACUUUGAAAAAAUUAGAGUGCUCAAAACAAGCGUUACGGCUCGAAUAGUGGUGCAUGGAAUAAUGGAAUAGGAUCUCGGUUCUAUUUUGUUGGUUUUAAGAAUGGAGAUAAUGAUAAAAAGGAACAGCACGGGGACAUUUGUAUUUCGGCGCUAGAGGUGAAAUUCUUGGAUCGCUGAACGACAAACAAUUGCGAAAGCAUUUGUCAAGAAUGUUUUCAUUAAUCAAGAACGAAAGU
Molecule: ribosomal RNA, 400 nt
Filed under: phytoplankton environmental sample
Lineage: Eukaryota
Description: partial small subunit ribosomal RNA
Rfam family: Eukaryotic small subunit ribosomal RNA
Source: RNAcentral